CGAGUGCUCCAAGCGUUAUCCGGAAUCAUUGGGCGUAAAGGGUGUGUAGGCGGUUGUGUUAGUCUUUUGUUAAAUUCUUCGGCUUAACCGGGGACAUGCGAAGGAAACGGCACAACUAGAGGAUGCGAGAGGUGAAUGGAACUCAUGGAGUAGGGGUGAAAUCCGUUGAUAUCAUGGGGAACACCAAAAGCGAAGGCAAUUCACUGGCGCACUCCUGACGCUGAGACACGAAAGCGUAGGUAGCGAAUGGGAUUAGAUACCCCAGUAGUCUACGCCCUAAACGAUGAUCGCUGGUUUUUCGGAGUAUCGACCCUCUGAGAGACGAAGCUAACGCGUUAAGCGAUCCGCCUGGGUAGUACGGCCGCAAGGCUA
Molecule: ribosomal RNA, 372 nt
Filed under: uncultured organism
Description: bacterial SSU rRNA
Rfam family: Bacterial small subunit ribosomal RNA
Source: RNAcentral